GUAAGGAAUAUUGGACAAUGGAGGCAACUCUGAUCCAGCCAUCCCGCGUGCAGGAUGAAUGCCCUAUGGGUUGUAAACUGCUUUUGUGAGGGAAGAACCGAACCCAAUAUUGGGUUUUUGACGGUACCUUACGAAUAAGCACCGGCUAACUCCGUGCCAGCAGCCGCGGUAAUACGGAGGGUGCAAGCGUUAUCCGGAAUCACUGGGUUUAAAGGGUGCGUAGGCGGCCUGGUAAGUCAGGGGUGAAAGGUCACGGCUCAACCGUGGAAUUGCCUUUGAUACUGCUGGGCUUGAAUCAGGAUGAGGUCGGCGGAAUGUGGCAUGUAGCGGUGAAAUGCAUAGAUAUGCCAUAGAACACCAAUUGCGAAGGCAGCUGGCUAGACCUUGAUUGACGCUGAGGCACGAAAGCGUGGGGAGCGAACAGGAUUAGAAACCCUGGUAGUCC
RNAcentral lists this ribosomal RNA (445 nucleotides) under uncultured bacterium. RNAcentral describes it as "bacterial SSU rRNA". It matches the Rfam family "Bacterial small subunit ribosomal RNA", at positions 354 to 796 of the family's 1533-position model. The record is from RNAcentral.